Molecule: ribosomal RNA, 240 nt
Filed under: uncultured bacterium
Lineage: Bacteria
Description: partial 16S ribosomal RNA
Rfam family: Bacterial small subunit ribosomal RNA
Source: RNAcentral
GAUCCUGGCUCAGGAUGAACGCUAGCGACAGGCUUAACACAUGCAAGUCGAGGGGCAUCAUGAGGUAGCAAUACCUUGAUGGCGACCGGCGCACGGGUGAGUAACGCGUAUGCAACCUGCCCGAUACCGGGGUAUAGCCCAUGGAAACGUGGAUUAACACACCAUAGUACUUUUAUCCUGCCUGGGAUGGGAGUUAAAUGUUCAAGGUAUCGUGAGUGGGCAUGCCGUACUUAUUUAAGG